GACGAACGCUGGCGGUGUGCUUCACACAUGCAAGUCGAACGGGGUAGCAAUACCCAGUGGCGGACGGGUGAGUAACGCGUAGAAAUCUGCCUUGAGAUGGGGGAUAACAGUCCGAAAGGACUGCUAAUACCGCAUAUGUAUGUAUCUCGACAGAGGUGUAUAUGAAAGGAGUAAUCCGUCUUAAGAUGAGUCUGCGUCCGAUUAGCUAGUUGGUAGGGUAAAGGCCUACCAAGGCGACGAUCGGUAGCUGGUCUGAGAGGAUGAUCAGCCACAAUGGGACUGAGACACGGCCCACACUCCUACGGGAGGCAGCAGUGGGGAAUUUUGUGCAAUGGGGGAAACCCUGACACAGCGACACCGCGUGAGCGAAGAAGCCCUUUGGGGUGUAAAGCUCUGUCGGCUGGAACGAAAAAAUGACGGUACCAGCAAAGGAAGCAUCGGCUAACUACGUGCCAGCCGCCGCAGUAAC
Molecule: ribosomal RNA, 469 nt
Filed under: uncultured bacterium
Lineage: Bacteria
Description: bacterial SSU rRNA
Rfam family: Bacterial small subunit ribosomal RNA
Source: RNAcentral